Molecule: ribosomal RNA, 270 nt
Filed under: uncultured prokaryote
Description: partial 16S ribosomal RNA
Rfam family: Bacterial small subunit ribosomal RNA
Source: RNAcentral
UUAAGAAUUUUGCGCAAUGGGCGAAAGCCUGACGCAGCGACGCCGCGUGGACGAUGAAGGUCUUCGGAUUGUAAAGUCCAGUAAGCAGGGACGAAUAAGCAAGGGGUAAUAUUCCUUGUGAUGACGGUACCUGUCUAAAGCCUCGGCUAACUACGUGCCAGCAGCCGCGGUAAUACGUAUGAGGCGAGCGUUGUUCGGAAUUAUUGGGCAUAAAGGGCGUGUAGGCGGGGGAGUAAGUUAGGUGGGAAAGCCACGGGCUCAACCCGGGAA